RNAcentral lists this transfer RNA (93 nucleotides) under Azorhizobium oxalatiphilum. RNAcentral's name for it is "tRNA-Gly". Lineage: Bacteria; Pseudomonadati; Pseudomonadota; Alphaproteobacteria; Hyphomicrobiales; Xanthobacteraceae. The record is from RNAcentral.
CGCCUCGGUAAGGCGGUCGGCGAGGUCUUCCGCGCUCCCGGCGCGGAAGUGCAGGCCAUCGACGCCAUCGCGGAUCUUCUCCGCCAUGCCGCC